RNAcentral lists this ribosomal RNA (253 nucleotides) under uncultured bacterium. RNAcentral describes it as "partial 16S ribosomal RNA". It matches the Rfam family "Bacterial small subunit ribosomal RNA", at positions 524 to 776 of the family's 1533-position model. The record is from RNAcentral.
GACAGAGGGUGCAAACGUUGUUCGGAAUUACUGGGCGUAAAGCGCGUGUAGGCGGCUAAGUAAGUCGGGCGUGAAAUCCCACGGCUCAACCGUGGAAGUGCACUCGAAACUGCAUAGCUAGAGUCCUGGAGAGGAAGGUGGAAUGCUUGGUGUAGAGGUGGAAUUCGUAGAUAUCAAGCGGAACACCGGUGGCGAAGGCGGCCUUCUGGACAGUGACUGACGCUGAGACGCGAAGGCCAGGGGAGCAAACGGG